Molecule: ribosomal RNA, 253 nt
Filed under: uncultured bacterium
Lineage: Bacteria
Description: partial 16S ribosomal RNA
Rfam family: Bacterial small subunit ribosomal RNA
Source: RNAcentral
UACGUAGGGGGCUAGCGUUGUCCGGAAUCAUUGGGCGUAAAGAGCGUGUAGGCGGUCCGGUAAGUCCGCUGUGAAAGUCGGGGGCUCAACCCUCGAAUGCCGGUGGAUACUGUCGGGCUAGAGUGCGGAAGAGGCGAGUGGAAUUCCUGGUGUAGCGGUGAAAUGCGUAGAUAUCAGGAGGAACACCAGCGGCGAAGGCGGCGCUCUGGGCCGGAACUGACGCUGAGGAGCGAAAGCGUGGGGAGCAAACAGG